This 914-nucleotide ribosomal RNA is filed under the name uncultured euryarchaeote. RNAcentral's name for it is "bacterial SSU rRNA". It matches the Rfam family "Archaeal small subunit ribosomal RNA", at positions 1 to 922 of the family's 1478-position model. Lineage: Archaea; Methanobacteriati; Methanobacteriota. The record is from RNAcentral.
UUCCGGUUGAUCCCGCCGGAGGCGACCGCUAUUGGAAUUCGAUUAAGCCAUGCGAGUCGAGAGUCUUAGGGACUCGGCGUACCGCUCAGUAACACGUGGGUAACCUGCCCUGUGCUGGGGAAUAACCUCGGGAAACUGAGAAUAAUGCCCCAUAGUUCACCAUGCCUGGAACGGUUGGUGGAUCAAAGCUCCGGCGGCACAGGAUGGGCCUGCGGCGUAUCAGGUCGUAGGGGGUGUAACGUACCCUCUAGCCUUCAACGCGUACGGGUUGUGGGAGCAAUCGCCCGGAGAUGGAUUCUGAGACACGAAUCCAGACCCUACGGGGUGCAGCAGGCGCGAAAACUUCACACUGCAGGAAACUGUGAUGAGGGAAUUCCAAGUGGCUAGACAAAGUCUAGUCUUUUACCAACUUUUAAUCGGUUGGUGAAUAAGGGGUGGGAAAGACCGGUGCCAGCCGCCGCGGUAAUACCGGCACCUCAAGUGGUCGUCGCUUUUAUUGGGCCUAAAACGUCCGUCGCCUGUUUGGUACAUUCGUGGGUAAAUCAAGCCGCUUAACGGCUUGAAUUCUGCGAGGACGGCCAGACUAGGGACCGGGAGAGGUAUGGGGUACUCUCAGGGUAGGGGUAAAAUCCAGUCAUCCUGAGGGGACCACCUGUUGCGAAGGCGCCAUACUAGAACGGAUCCGACGGUCAGGGACGAAGCCUAGGGGCACGAACCGGAUUAGAUACCCGGGUAGUCCUAGGUGUAAACGCUGUGGACUUGGUGUUGGGGAUUCUACGAGUAUCCCCAGUGCCGGAGUGAAGAUGUUAAGUCCACUGCCUGGGGAGUACGGUCGCAAGGCUGAAACUUAAAGGAAUUGGCGGGGGAGCACAGCAACGAGAGGAGCGUGCGGUUUAAUUGGAUUCAACGCCGGA